UCUUCCGUGGCGCAAUUGGCUAGCGCGUCUGACUGUUAGAUGCAGUUAUUUCGGUAGCUGGUAGCAAUCAGGAGGUUGACAGUUCAAGCCUGUCCGGGAGAG
Phyllosticta citrichinensis is the source of this 102-nucleotide non-coding RNA. The record is from the annotation of a GenBank genome assembly. Lineage: Eukaryota; Fungi; Ascomycota; Dothideomycetes; Botryosphaeriales; Phyllostictaceae.